CGUCAAUAACUUGAUGAUAAUAAAUAAAUUUAAAUAAAUAAUAUUAUUUUAUGAUCCAGUGAGCGCUUUUUUUUUAUUUAAAAAUUAUCGAGAAAGUUAACACAAGCUUGUUGAAAUGUUCUAUUUCAUUAAGUGUAGUAGUGUUUGUUAACUCGUUUUACUGUCGAGGAUUAAGGUCGAGGUUAUGUGUGGUUACGUUUAAGAUGUUGGACAAUGGAAAUCCUGAAGUAAACAAUUGCGUUUGUUUUUACUGGAAUAAUGAAAAGUACUUGGGAACUAUUGUGAAUAUCCCAAUAUGCUAAAUUGAAAAAGUUAGCCAAGAAAUUUAACAAAAAGGAGGACACUGAAAAGGAGUCAUCACUUCCUGAAAGAAGACUGCGAAAACCUUAAUGCUCGUCAUUUACUAAAAACGAAAAUUCUGCUUCCCAAACAUAAAUCUAAGAGAAAAAGUUUUAGGUAAUAUAUUGGAUUCUGAUGUACCAGUGAGUAAUCUGAAGCAACAAGUCAAAAAAUUUAUCCAUAAAACACAGAAGAUUCAAGAAAAGAUUCCAAGUCUCCGGCACUGAAAUCUGAUUAUGAGAAUAAAUUCAAAUAAAGAGGAAUUGAAAAUGAUAAUUUUAGAGCAAGCAAAGCUUCAAAAUUCUGAUAAAAAAUUGUGUGAAAAUUAUGCUUUCUAAAGUAGGAUGGCCGAAAGUAAACCCCCUGAAAAGUGCAAUGAGCUAUGUCCCAGUUGAUCGGAGAGAAGAGACAGAUCAAUAAAAAUAUUGAUAAAAGUUCUUGAUAUUAUCAAUAUUAAAGAUCGUUAUUCAUUCAUAAUUAUUGCUAUUGUUUUACUUUUUAUUUUUCAGUCUGUAACAUUGUUCAGUAAUGUAAUUUGAUUUUAUUUUUAUUUUUCAUUAAUUGCCAAUGCCAACUAAGAUCAAAUUAAUAUUUGAUCUUAGUUGGCAUACCGCUUAGCAAAAUGAGAAGUUUU
RNAcentral lists this long non-coding RNA (973 nucleotides) under Bombyx mandarina (wild silkworm). Its description in RNAcentral is "uncharacterized LOC114248028, transcript variant X1". Lineage: Eukaryota; Metazoa; Arthropoda; Insecta; Lepidoptera; Bombycidae. The record is from RNAcentral.